RNAcentral lists this microRNA (22 nucleotides) under Brassica rapa (field mustard). RNAcentral's name for it is "bra-miR9564-3p". The record is from miRBase by way of RNAcentral. Lineage: Eukaryota; Viridiplantae; Streptophyta; Magnoliopsida; Brassicales; Brassicaceae.
CGAGCUGUGUAAUCGUUUUGUU